CCUACGGGAGGCAGCAGUGGGGAAUAUUGGACAAUGGGGGAAACCCUGAUCCAGCGAAGCCGCGUGAGUGAAGACGUAUUUCGGUACGUAAAGCUCUAUCAGCAGGAAAGAAAAUGACGGUACCUGACUAAUAUGCCCCGGCUAACUACGUGCCAGCAGCCGCGGUAAUACGUAGGGGGCAACCGUUAUCCGGAUUUACUGGGUGUAAAGGGAGCGUAGAGGGCAGCUCAAGUCUGUAGUGAAAUGCCGGGGCCCAACCCUGAAACUGCCCUUGAAACUGUCAAGCUGGAGUGCAGGAGAGGUAGGCGGAAUUCUUGGUGUAGCGGUGAAAUGCGUAGAUAUCAGGAGGAACACCGGAUGCGAAGGCAGCUUACUGGACUGCAACUGACGUUGAGGCUCGAAGGCGUGGGGAGCAAACAGGAUUAGAUACCCCAGUAGUC
RNAcentral lists this ribosomal RNA (440 nucleotides) under uncultured bacterium. RNAcentral's name for it is "partial 16S ribosomal RNA". It matches the Rfam family "Bacterial small subunit ribosomal RNA", at positions 338 to 795 of the family's 1533-position model. The record is from RNAcentral.